This 358-nucleotide long non-coding RNA is filed under the name Arabidopsis lyrata. RNAcentral describes it as "long non-coding RNA (ALYR_LNC001427)". Lineage: Eukaryota; Viridiplantae; Streptophyta; Magnoliopsida; Brassicales; Brassicaceae. The record is from RNAcentral.
UGUCGGCCUGUGGUUAAAAGUUGGAAUGAUUUGUCCUAAACACCCUUAAUGAAUUGUUCUUCUCGAAAUUUCAUCUUCUUCGUAAUUAGGGGUAUAUAAGUCUAAUCGUGUGUUGAUCUCUAUACUAAUGUCCUAAACACCCUCGAUUUCGAAAUUUUUUGUUCUUAAUUGUUAGAGGUAUAUAAGUCUAAUCGUGUUUUGAGAUGAUUAGUCUUAAUCACCCUUAAAUUUUUUUUUUUAUAUAGUGUAGUCGUUGGGGAUACGAAUGUCAUAAUGUCUCGACUUUAAGGAUUAUGGAAUCUUAGCUUUAAUUUAUUUGUUAUUUUUUGGAUAAUUUCUAUAUCUUAGUAGUUAAUAU